Molecule: ribosomal RNA, 866 nt
Filed under: uncultured bacterium
Lineage: Bacteria
Description: bacterial SSU rRNA
Rfam family: Bacterial small subunit ribosomal RNA
Source: RNAcentral
CCAUUGAUACUGGAUUUCUUGAAUCUAAUAGAAGUAGGCGGAAUAUGACAUGUAGCGGUGAAAUGCUUAGAUAUGUCAUAGAACACCGAUAGCGAAGGCAGCUUACUAUGUUAGUAUUGACGCUAAUGCACGAAAGCGUGGGGAGCGAACAGGAUUAGAUACCCUGGUAGUCCACGCCGUAAACGAUGAUUACUCGCUAUUGGCGAUACACUGUCAGUGGCUAAGCGAAAGUGAUAAGUAAUCCACCUGGGGAGUACGAUCGCAAGGUUGAAACUCAAAGGAAUUGACGGGGGCCCGCACAAGCGGUGGAGCAUGUGGUUUAAUUCGAUGAUACGCGAGGAACCUUACCAGGUCUUAAAUGCAUAACGAACGAUUGGGAAACCAAUCUUUCUUCGGACGGAAUGCAAGGUGCUGCAUGGUUGUCGUCAGCUCGUGCCGUGAGGUGUCAGGUUAAGUCCUAUAACGAGCGCAACCCCUAUUCUUAGUUGCCAGCGGUUCGGCCGGGGACUCUAAGAAAACUGCCAGUGCAAGCUGUGAGGAAGGUGGGGAUGACGUCAAAUCAUCACGGCCCUUACGACCUGGGCCACACACGUGCUACAAUGGUAGGUACAAAGGGCAGCCACUUGGUGACAAGGAGCUAAUCUCUAAAACCUAUCUCAGUUCGGAUUGGAGUCUGAAACUCGACUCUAUGAAGCUGGAAUCGCUAGUAAUCGCGCAUCAGCCAUGGCGCGGUGAAUACGUUCCCGGGCCUUGUACACACCGCCCGUCAAGCCAUGGAAGCUGGGAGUACCUGAAGUCGGUAACCAUUUAGGAGCUGCCUAGGGUAAAACUAGUAACUGGGGCUAAGUCGUAACAAGGUAGCCGUA